UGUACACACCGCCCGUCACACCAUGGGAGUUGGCUGCACCAGAAGCCGGUAGUCUAACCGCAAGGAGGACGCCGACCACGGUGUGGUCAAUGACUGGGGUGAAGUCGUAACAAGGUAGCCGUAUCGGAAGGUGCGGCUGGAUCACCUCCUUU
Molecule: ribosomal RNA, 152 nt
Filed under: uncultured bacterium
Lineage: Bacteria
Description: partial 16S ribosomal RNA
Rfam family: Bacterial small subunit ribosomal RNA
Source: RNAcentral